RNA transcript from Folsomia candida, 2192 nucleotides. It is a transcript of the gene named cholesterol 7-desaturase, with no coding region annotated. The record is from RefSeq and is a predicted model, not a curated record. The transcript has 6 exons. Lineage: Eukaryota; Metazoa; Arthropoda; Collembola; Entomobryomorpha; Isotomidae.
UACAUGUUUAAUAGCUCCAGUUUUUUUAUAGUCCAAAUCAGGUCUUGUGGAACUUCAUGUCUAUCAGUCAGUCUCUGAACACGAAAGAGGCUAAACACAUGAACGGAUUCGUUUGAAAUUUUUACCAUAUGAAUAUUGCGAAAAAGUUUUCAAUUUUCAGAAAUUGUCUCAAAAAGCUGAAAUAUGUACGUAUUUAUUUUCCAGAAUGGCCUAUGUAACCGUUCUUUUUGUAUGCCCGUCCUUCAGAGUGGGUUGACAGAUUUUGGAAAAAUUUUGCACACUCAUUUACAUAUCUGCACAAUGCAUAAGACCAGUUCGAAGAUGAAAAACAUUUGGACCGGUAGGGGAUCAUACAUAUUUAUAUAAAAAUUCCAGGCGUGGUCACCGUUGGUGCAAAACAUUCUAAAUUCAUACAGAAUUCAUACAUGUUGAAUUAUUCAUAGAUGGUCGCAAUUCUAAAUUCGGUACAGCGUCCCAAUAGAGAUACGUAUUAAAUCGAAAUAUAAAAUAAAAAAGUUUCAAUUUUUCUUAAUUGGAGGAAACUGGUUCGGGCUGUGCAAAAGUGGAUCGAUAAGUCUUGUUUACUGUCAUCACUUGCGGUAGUUAAUUGGAUUGGGAUUUACGUUACGUACUUGUCACAUAAAUAAUCAGAUAAAAAGCCAAGGCUGACUAGUUGCAAAUAGCAUUUUGGUAAGUGCAGUGAUUGAUUAAAACGUUAUAAAUGGAGGUAAAAAUGGGUAUAGAAAUUUUGGGAAUCUGUCUAGUUUUGAUCAUUUAUCUUUGCUGGCGAGUCUUUUUUCGGCCAUUCAAUUUGUUUAGGGAUUUUGGAGACCUCGGAUUCGAGUCGGUUUCCAAAACUGGGAAUGACAUUUACAAAAGAAACGCCAUUAACGAGAUGCGGAAACGAAGAAAAAAUGGGAAACUUCCGCCAUCCUAUCCAAACGGGUGGUUCGCCAUUCUCGAAUCUGAAAGCUUGAAGGCAGGAGAGACCAAGGAAAUUUAUGCUUUAGGCCAGAAUUUAGUAGCGUGGAGAGGGAGGAGGAGUGGGGUCACCUACGUGGCCGAUGCCUAUUGCCCCCAUCUCGGUGCACAUCUCGGUGUUGGAGGUGAGGUCAAAGGUGACUGCAUCCAAUGUCCCUUUCACGGAUGGGAGUUUGAUGGAGAAAAGGAGGGAAAAUUAACCCGAAUUCCGUACGCAGAGAAAGUUCCCGGAUUUGCACAAAUUAAACUGUGGCCUGUCACGGAGACGAAUGGCUUCAUAUUCGUAUGGUUUCAUAGUGAAGGAAGUGGCCCGUCUUGGAAUUUGGAUCCUAUCCCGGAAAUUGUUGAGGGCAAGUGGAGUUAUCGUGGAAGGUCGGAAAUGCGCGUGGCUUGUCACAUUCAGGAAAUACCAGAAAACGGUGCAGAUCUUGGACACUUAAACGUACUUCAUUGUGAUUCCGCUUGGAGUGGCGAUGACCCGAAGAGUUCCUGGAUUUCAAGAAAUUUAAUACAACAUGUAUGGCAUGGAACGUGGGAGCCAAACGUUAACCGUAGCCACGAAGCAAUUAUGAAGCUUACCCAUUUGAUUAAACUGUUUAAUCGUUUUUCUUGUUUGCAUAUAAAUGUGGAUGUUCGUCAGCAAAGUUUAGAUCGGUCCUGGGAUCGUGAUUUUGCAUUUUGACACAUAUUUUGGACAAGGCGUCUUCGUUCAAACGGUGACCCCAAUUGAGCCCCUUUUGCAGACAGUGACCCACCGUUUCUAUUCGGGGGGAUGGAUUAUCCAACCUGUGGCUAAUAUGAUACUAGAUGCGGAGUCUAAGCAGAUUUCAAGAGACAUCCGAAUCUGGAACAGAAAAUGCUUCUUGGAUAAACCGAUUUUGAUAAGGGAAGAACAAACAAUUAAAUUAUUUCGGAGAUGGUUCUCCCAAUUUUAUUAUGAAAACAGUAAUUCCGACAAUGGAAGGACAAAUUAUUUUAAAAAGGGAUAAUUUUUAUUAAAUGCAUAAAGUAACAUGAAUAUGAGAAUUUAUAAGAUUUUUGUCACCAAUAAUAGUCAUUUUCAAACCAGGUCGUAAAUUAUUGUUCAGUGCGAAUUGACCUGAACUCCUAUUUGUCACUAUUUAAACGACAAUUAUUAAACACGAAAUUUUAAAAAUAUCAAAUGCUUGUAUACAAAUUAAAAUAUUAGAAUAUAUUUCAACACAAAUCGA